This 253-nucleotide ribosomal RNA is filed under the name uncultured bacterium. RNAcentral describes it as "partial 16S ribosomal RNA". It matches the Rfam family "Bacterial small subunit ribosomal RNA", at positions 524 to 776 of the family's 1533-position model. The record is from RNAcentral.
UACGUAGGGGGCUAGCGUUGUCCGGAAUCAUUGGGCGUAAAGCGCGUGUAGGCGGUCCGGUAAGUCCGCUGUGAAAGUCGGGGGCUCAACCCUCGAAUGCCGGCGGAUACUGUCGGGCUAGAGUCCGGAAGAGGCGAGUGGAAUUCCUGGUGUAGCGGUGAAAUGCGCAGAUAUCAGGAGGAACACCAACGGCGAAGGCAGCUCGCUGGGACGGUACUGACGCUGAGACGCGAAAGCGUGGGGAGCAAACAGG